GGGCUUAUAGCUCAGUGGUAGAGCAAUUGACUGCAGAUCAAUAGGUCACCGGUUCGAAUCCGGUUGGGCCCU
This 72-nucleotide transfer RNA is filed under the name Capsella rubella. It matches the Rfam family "tRNA". From Rfam's summary of the family: Transfer RNA (tRNA) molecules are approximately 80 nucleotides in length. Lineage: Eukaryota; Viridiplantae; Streptophyta; Magnoliopsida; Brassicales; Brassicaceae. The record is from Rfam by way of RNAcentral.